Molecule: long non-coding RNA, 2768 nt
Filed under: Daphnia pulicaria
Lineage: Eukaryota; Metazoa; Arthropoda; Branchiopoda; Diplostraca; Daphniidae
Description: uncharacterized LOC124352576
Source: RNAcentral
UCUCACGGAAGUUCGUCUGCAGUCUCUGCACUCUCUUGUCCACAGGCGGAUAGGCCCACGCCCCACAGCACUGAUGGUUCAAAUCAUCCCACCACUUCAAUCUGAUGCAACAGCAGCAAGUCUAAGAUUUUCAAGUACAGUGUUGCUGUUGAAGUUACCUCUGCUUGCAAUUAAUCCAAUGAUGUAGACCGUGUAGAACAAACACUCUGGAAUCUUUGGGUCACGACCGACAUUGACACGAAUGCUGGUUCCAUAUAAAACGCAUCUUAGCCGAACUGACGUUCCGGAAGAAAUUGGCUUCGGUGAUGUUCUCAUUGAGGAAAGUAGUACUGGACACUACUCGAACCCCUAUCAAAUGAACUGUUGUUGCAGUUCUAAUCAAGAUGAAAUUUGAAAACCCCUGUAUCCCAAGCUACAGUAUUUGAAGCAGGUGACUCCCACAAUACAGUUGACAAAGAAGUAUCAGAUCGAGUCCUUAUCAGUGUGGGCCUAGUUCUCCCCCCAGUCAAUCCGGCUGAAGAAAAUGCGUCGCAGCCGGAAACAUCUUGUAGUUAUUUCAUGUCAAUUGAUUUGGAAUUCGAUGAAGUACUGCCGAAUUUGGAUCGUGGACAGCAUCAUUCCUUUGGCUGAAAAAGAUCUCGGUUCUCUAGGAUGACCUGGCGCUACAGCUCACAUUCUUGUCCAGGAUCAACUCGCUUAUUCACUCCCACCAUUUGGGGACUUUAUUGCCGAAUUUUCCGAUAUCGUACCAAAUGAAGUUGUUGUUCACCGUUCCACAUCGGAAGCCACUACUCCAGUUCCAGUGAUCGUUUUCUACUCUUCGUCUUUCUAGGGAGAGCCUAGAGUAGCAUUUCCGAUACAAGCCUCAGACAGUAGGGACGGUCGACUUUUUCCUGGAGUUGGAGUUGUGGAAGUCUAACUGGCCAAGAAAAUUAACCAAUUUACACCACUCGUUCAGCACAAGAAAUUGCGCGGAAAGCAGUUAAGCCAUUCCUAUUCUGGUCAGCUCGCACAUGCCCAUCUGAAGUCAAAUCCUCUUCAAUUUGGCAGUCAUUAUCAACUUGAUUGUCACCGUCUUUUACCCGUUCGACACUGACGGACCGAUUCCUGAUCCUGGCACUCACCUCUUAGGUCUUGUCUGGGCAUCUCAUGCUCCUUUCGGCCGCUGUGGCCAUUACGUUACCUAAACCGUGGCGUACAUCAGAACUCUCGUCAUGACAGUAAUUCUCCGACUUAUUUGCUCCACUGGACCUCAACAACCAAAAUUGAUGCUCCUUGGCACCGCCACGGUAGUGUUGAAGGACGUAUAUAUGCUGAGCGUGAGGCAAAUUGCAUGGACACGGAGAUCCGCUACCACGUCGUUUACCUCAUCUGUUGUUUCCUUGGACUGCUCAACUUCAUCUGCUCAGUAGGCACCUGGUAGAGAAAUGUUGUACUACUUCAUGGAAUCCCAUUUCUCAUGUCUGUUUAAUUCACGCGUGGAUUUCUUGGAUGGUGAAUUGAUCAUUCGGGUAAGCUGCGGGAAUAAUCUAGUCUUCAUCCCCACUUGAUUCAUUUCGUGCCAGUUAUUAGUGAAACUUGAAAGGCGUGACGAAUUCAAAUUGAGGUGUUGCGUGCUGUCUGCAAGCAAGCAAUCCAAUUGGCUGUCGCUAGGUGGCUAAAAUUAUGUCCACCAGGUAGCGCCAUGUUGUUUCUAACAGACGCAGACGAAAUGAGUGUUGAUUGUUGAAUGUUUAUCGAUGUGACGUUUCCCAUGCUGAAAAUGAAACGGUGAAUUAGCAUGUAAGCAGUUAAUGACCAAAUCAUCUCGUAGCUCAAGUGACUGUACAUUUCGCCAAAUUGUCGUGCCUCGAGCGUCUUGCUGCCUGUAGAUUUCCAGAAUCUAUACUUCAGAGAAAUUAAAUUUAUGUUCAGAUGGUUCCAUUGCAGCCACCUCGUGAAAAGGGAGUUCAAGUUGAGCUGCAGCUGCUGCAAGCAGUCUGUAGUGCUGGUGUCAUUCUGAAGUGUUCUCAAUGUGUCAGUCUAGGCUGAAGCUAAUUAAAGUGUACUGUUCAAGUCUUAUUAUAGACAUCAAGCACAUUGAUAACCAAUUAUAAACAAGGGUCUAAACUAAAUGUUUCUAAAUUUGCAUGCCAGAUUUAUGAGAAGUCAUGUCGUUUGAAGAAAAAGGGCAAUGUCUACACAGGUAACAAGGUUCCUUGUUUGAAAACCCGUUGGCUGGUACCUGUGAAUCUCCAUUUUUACUUCUUUAAACUGGCCCUCUUAAUUGAGGGUAACUCCUUCGCUACUGAUCAUCCACUGGACCCUACUUCAUUCAUUGGUGAAAACUGAUGAGAGAAUCCUGUAAUUCAAGACUGAUAAAUUGUGUAGUUGUUAGAUACAUUACAAGUGCAUAUCUGGGCUCCCUUCUUCAGUGGCCCCGUUUCCCUAAAUAACCACUAACAAACGCCCGCCGGUGGUCACUCACUCGCUGCGACAACCAGGAGGAAGGGAGAUGUUUGGUCGAACGGGGACUUGCAAGGCGCAUGAUUCGAUGAAAUCUGUUGGAGGGUCAUGAGUCUAAGCCGGAAGCCUACUAUGACACACUGCUCUCAUAAUAACUGCUCCUCAGCUCUCUUCGUUCUUUUUCCGGUUUCUCUUAACCAUGGCCGGGUAAUCUCCCUGGUCGAGUCAGUCGGGCAGUGUCUCCCCCUGCUUGACUGGCAGCAAUUUAUUCCGUACCGUCUUUUUAAUAAAUAAAACUUGACAAAAUUUUACAAUACACCAUU